RNAcentral lists this long non-coding RNA (358 nucleotides) under Cicer arietinum (chickpea). Its description in RNAcentral is "long non-coding RNA (CARI_LNC003755)". The record is from RNAcentral. Lineage: Eukaryota; Viridiplantae; Streptophyta; Magnoliopsida; Fabales; Fabaceae.
AUCAAACCAUUUCAAAAUCAUACCAAAGAAAACAAUUUAUUAAAUGUGUACCAAAUCAGAGAAUCAGAGCAUGUAUCAAAUGUAUCAAAUCAGCAUGUGUAUUAUUACAUUAUUAAGUAUCAGAGCAAAAACAAACAUCAUCAGAACAUCAGAUUCUCCCCCUUAAUAAUGCAACAACAAGCAUAUUAUCAAGUUAUCAAGUUAUAAUUUUUCUCCCCCUUUGUCAAUUAAGGCAAAAAGGCAGAAAACAAUUCCUCCCCCUAUGUUAAAGAACAUAAGCAUAGGAAAUGAAAUCAUAUAACUUGUAUAUCAGAUCAGAACAAAACAAAUAUGCAACAGAUGUAGUAUGGCAGUAUUU